UUUUGCGAACCCUAAUUCUUGAAGCUGGCCUCCACUCAGCCUCCCUCUCACUCUCACGCUCUCAUACUCUCUCUUCUCUUUCACCGCUGAGAUUGAACUACACUAACAAAUCAUAGUUAGUCAGGGACACACAGAAACACUGUUUCUUCCACCAUGAGUUUCGCGGCGUACAAGAUGAUGCAGUGCCCCACCGACAUCGACAAUUGUGCCA
Molecule: unclassified non-coding RNA, 211 nt
Filed under: uncultured bacterium
Lineage: Bacteria
Description: contains 16S-23S intergenic spacer region
Source: RNAcentral